GCCACGGUGGCUUAGUGGUUAGCACAUUUGCUUCAUACCCCUGGGGUUGGGGGUUCAAAUCCCCCUUCUUCCU
Non-coding RNA from Pangasius djambal, 73 nucleotides. The record is from the annotation of a GenBank genome assembly. NCBI's taxonomy places the organism in Eukaryota, Metazoa, Chordata, Actinopteri, Siluriformes, Pangasiidae.